GGGAAUGUGGCUUAGUGGUAGAGUGCUUGUCUAGCAAGCAUGGAGCCCUGGGUUUGAUUCCUCAGCACCA
Molecule: transfer RNA, 70 nt
Filed under: Dipodomys ordii (Ord's kangaroo rat)
Lineage: Eukaryota; Metazoa; Chordata; Mammalia; Rodentia; Heteromyidae
Rfam family: tRNA
About the family: Transfer RNA (tRNA) molecules are approximately 80 nucleotides in length. Their secondary structure includes four short double-helical elements and three loops (D, anti-codon, and T loops).
Source: Rfam by way of RNAcentral